Clupea harengus (Atlantic herring) is the source of this 551-nucleotide long non-coding RNA. NCBI's taxonomy places the organism in Eukaryota, Metazoa, Chordata, Actinopteri, Clupeiformes, Clupeidae. The record is from Ensembl.
UGUACCAUGGAGUCUGCUUAGAAGUGUGUGUGUGUGUGUGUCUGUGUGUCUUGGAUUCUGCUGAGAAGUGUGUAAGUGAGUGUGUGUGUGUGUGUCUUGGAUUCUGCUGAGAAGUGUGUGUGUGUAAGUGUGUGUGUGUGUCUUGGAUUCUGCUGAGAAGUGUGUGUGUGUGUGUGUGUGUGUGUGUGUGUGUGUGUGUGUGUGUGUGUGUGUGUGUGUGUGUGUGUGUGUGUGUGUCUUGGAUUCUGCUGAGAAGUGUGUGUGUGUGUGUCUUGGAUUCUGUGUUUGUUGCUGUGUGAUGGACCUGCUGUGAUCAUUUUCUCCAUCAUGUAUAAAUGAGUAGCAGAAAUCUGCGAGUGUGUGAGUCUUUGAGCUUCUUUCUGUUUGUCAUCCUCCUGAGGCCGAGAGGACUGUUAACAGAAUAAUGUCUUCUGUUGUCUGACACUCGUCCCUAGUGAGCAGAGGAGAAGGGGAAACUCAGAAACAGAGAAAGAGAGAGAGAGAGAGAGAGAGAGGGAAAGAGAGAGAGAGAGUGUGUGUGAGAGAGAAAA